Long non-coding RNA from Numida meleagris (helmeted guineafowl), 266 nucleotides. RefSeq lists it as uncharacterized. The record is from RefSeq and is a predicted model, not a curated record. The transcript is spliced from 2 exons. NCBI's taxonomy places the organism in Eukaryota, Metazoa, Chordata, Aves, Galliformes, Numididae.
CGCAGUUAGUGAGAGUUCAGCAGCUGCGGGGAACUGCGCGUCCAGGGGAAGGGUGCCCGGAGCGGAGGACGCGCUGCGCCCGACGGCGGCCCCCAGCGCCUGGCAGCCACGCUGCGCCCCACGCCUCAAGUGACCGGUAUUUUGGCAGCACAAUCUCGCAGAAAAAUCAUACAGACCUCCGAGGAAAAGAGCUAAGGGCAACAAGCACUUCACAGGAGAAGCUUCCAUAUAACAUGCCUAUCAAAUAAAGCUGUAUCAAAAUAUUA